UACGUAGGGUGCUAGCGUUGUCCGGAAUCAUUGGGCGUAAAGCGCGUGUAGGCGGUCCGGUAAGUCCGCUGUGAAAGUCGGGGGCUCAACCCUCGAAUGCCGGUGGAUACUGUCGGGCUAGAGUGCGGAAGAGGCGAGUGGAAUUCCUGGUGUAGCGGUGAAAUGCGCAGAUAUCAGGAGGAACACCGGUGGCGAAGGCGGGUCUCUGGGCCGAUACUGACGCUGAGGAGCGAAAGCGUGGGGAGCGAACAGG
RNAcentral lists this ribosomal RNA (253 nucleotides) under uncultured bacterium. RNAcentral's name for it is "partial 16S ribosomal RNA". It matches the Rfam family "Bacterial small subunit ribosomal RNA", at positions 524 to 776 of the family's 1533-position model. The record is from RNAcentral.